UAUCGUUAUAAAUUAGUGUAUAUUUUUAUACUGAAUCGAAUGGUAGUAUUUUCAUCUACAUAGCGUGCACUGGGACUAGCUAACAGUCGUGGGUCGUGGGUAGAAUGUCGUGGGUAGAAUGUCGUGGGUCGUGGGUAAAAAGUCGUGGGUCAUGAGUAAAAAGUCGUAAGUCGUGGGUAAAAAGUCGUGGGUCGUGGGUAAAAAGGCGUGGGUCGUGGGUAAAAAGGCGUGGGUCGUGGGUAAAAAGGCGUGGGUCGUGGGUAAAAAGGCGUGGGUCGUGGGUAAAAAGGCGUGGGUCGUGAGUAAAAAGGCGUGGGUCGUGG
Paramuricea clavata is the source of this 323-nucleotide non-coding RNA. The record is from the annotation of a GenBank genome assembly. Lineage: Eukaryota; Metazoa; Cnidaria; Anthozoa; Malacalcyonacea; Plexauridae.